Molecule: ribosomal RNA, 407 nt
Filed under: uncultured bacterium
Lineage: Bacteria
Description: partial 16S ribosomal RNA
Rfam family: Bacterial small subunit ribosomal RNA
Source: RNAcentral
AUUGAACGCUGGCGGCAGGCCUAACACAUGCCAGUCGAGCGGCGCGGCGGUCGGGUGCGUAAUGCCUAGGAAUCUGCCUGGUAGUGGGGGAUAACGUCCGGACACGGGCGCUAAUACCGCAUACUAUCAGAUGAGUCUAGGACGGAUUAGGUAGUUGGUGGGGUAAAGGCCUACAAAGGCGACGAUCCGUAACUGGUAUGAGAGGAUGAUCAGUCACACUGGAACUGAGAAAGGGUCCAAACUCCUACGGGAGGCAGAGGUGGGGAAGAAUGGACAAUGGGCGAAAGCCUGGUACAUCCAUGCCGCGUGAGGGAAGAAGGUCUUCGGGUGGUAAAGCACUUUAAGUUGGGAGGCGUUACCAACAGAAUAAGCACCGGCUAACUGCGUGCCAGCAGACGCGGUAAUAC